This is a long non-coding RNA of Sander lucioperca (pikeperch), 161 nucleotides long. RefSeq lists it as uncharacterized. The transcript has 3 exons. Lineage: Eukaryota; Metazoa; Chordata; Actinopteri; Perciformes; Percidae. The record is from RefSeq and is a predicted model, not a curated record.
CCUUGUGUUGUCUUCCCGUCGACCGUGCGUUGUUUUGUUUUUCUUGGUCAACAUUUAAAAUUCAAACUUAUUUUUAACGUUUUGGUCGACUUUUUGACACUUUUGUAAUUUUUGCAGAUGUUUUUAUCGAUUUUUUAAAACGUUUUUUUAAAAAUGUUUUU